Molecule: ribosomal RNA, 465 nt
Filed under: uncultured bacterium
Lineage: Bacteria
Description: partial 16S ribosomal RNA
Rfam family: Bacterial small subunit ribosomal RNA
Source: RNAcentral
GAUGAACGCUGGCGGCGUGCUUAACACAUGCAAGUCGAACGGAAAGGCUCCUGCUUGCAGGGGUACUCGAGUGGCGAACGGGUGAGUAACACGUGGGUGAUCUGCCCUGCACUUCGGGAUAAGCCUGGGAAACUGGGUCUAUUACCGGAUAGGACGAUGGUUUGGAUGCCAUUGUGGAAAGUUUUUCGGUGUGGGAUGAGCUCGCGGCCUAUCAGCUUGUUGGUGGGGUAAUGGCCUACCAAGGCGUCGACGGGUAGCCGGCCUGAGAGGGUGUACGGCCACAUUGGGACUGAGAUACGGCCCAGACUCCUACGGGAGGCAGCAGUGGGGAAUAUUGCACAAUGGGCGCAAGCCUGAUGCAGCGACGCCGCGUGGGGGAUGACGGCCUUCGGGUUGUAAACUCCUUUCGCUAGGGACGAAGCGCAAGUGACGGUACCUGGAGAAGAAGCACCGGCUAACUACGUG